AGCAGCCGCGGUAAUUCCAGCUCCAAUAGCGUAUAUUAAAGUUGUUGCAGUUUAAAAGCUCGUAGUUGAAUUUCGGGAUCAUCAGGUUGGUCGUGCCUCUGGUAUGUACUGAUUUCGAUGGUCCCUCCUUCUUGAAGAGCCGUAAUGCCAUUAAUUUGGUGUUGCGGGGAAUCAGGACUGUUAACUUUGAAAAAUUAGAGUGUUUAAAGCAGGCAAUCGCUUGAAUACAUUAGCAUGGAAUAAUGAAAUAGGACGUUCGAUCCUAUUUUGUUGGUUUCUAGGAUUGACGUAAUGAUUAAUAGGGAUAGUUGGGGGCAUUAGUAUUCAAUUGUCAGAGUGAAAUUCUUGGAUUUAUUGAAGACUAACUACUGCGAAAGCGUUUGCCAAGGAUGUUUUCAU
Molecule: ribosomal RNA, 399 nt
Filed under: uncultured Glomeromycotina
Lineage: Eukaryota; Fungi; Glomeromycota
Description: SSU rRNA
Rfam family: Eukaryotic small subunit ribosomal RNA
Source: RNAcentral